This 106-nucleotide non-coding RNA is filed under the name Granulicella rosea. RNAcentral's name for it is "SAM-I sequence". It matches the Rfam family "SAM riboswitch aptamer (S box leader)". From Rfam's summary of the family: The SAM riboswitch is found upstream of a number of genes which code for proteins involved in methionine or cysteine biosynthesis in Gram-positive bacteria. Lineage: Bacteria; Pseudomonadati; Acidobacteriota; Terriglobia; Terriglobales; Acidobacteriaceae. The record is from Rfam by way of RNAcentral.
AUUUCAUGCAGAGUGGUUGAGGGACGAGCCCUGAGACGCCACGACAACCGGACAAGGCAAGAUCGUACCGGUGUCAACUCUCUCCUGGAAACGGGGAACAUGAGAU